CAAGAAUCAGAAACUCAAUCUAAGGUUUUCAGUUGGAUAGUAGGGACACAAGCACUUGAGCGAUCACCACUGGCUCCUAAGUCUGUAUCAGCAGGAAGCUGGAAUCAGGAACCAAUGUUCUAACCACAUGCUUGCCAAUAGACAUUGGGAGGGCGGCAUCACCCUUGGAUCGGUGAAAUUGGCAGCAUUUCAGAACUAUACAAACCACUUGGACAGAACCCUAGAAAUAUGUACACGUUGAGACUCUGGGUUGAUGUGAAGUGGCGGUUCCUCAUUCCUGGGUGCUUGGACAUGUGGAAGGAAACAGAGAGCCAAAAAUCGAAAAUGAAAUGGAUGUUUUAGAAGCAUACCACACA
This is a long non-coding RNA of Ochotona princeps (American pika), 356 nucleotides long. RefSeq lists it as uncharacterized. Lineage: Eukaryota; Metazoa; Chordata; Mammalia; Lagomorpha; Ochotonidae. The transcript has 3 exons. The record is from RefSeq and is a predicted model, not a curated record.